GAUGAACGCUGGCGGCGUGCCUAAUACAUGCAAGUCGAGCGAACAGACGAGGAGCUUGCUCCUCUGACGUUAGCGGCGGACGGGUGAGUAACACGUGGAUAACCUACCUAUAAGACUGGGAUAACUUCGGGAAACCGGAGCUAAUACCGGAUAAUAUAUUGAACCGCAUGGUUCAAUAGUUAAAGACGGUUUUGCUGUCACUUAUAGAUGGAUCCGCGCCGCAUUAGCUAGUUGGUAAGGUAACGGCUUACCAAGGCGACGAUGCGUAGCCGACCUGAGAGGGUGAUCGGCCACACUGGAACUGAGACACGGUCCAGACUCCUACGGGAGGCAGCAGUAGGGAAUCUUGCGCAAAGGGCGAAAGCCUGACGGAGCCACGCCGCGUGAGUGAUGAAGGUCUUCGGAUCGUAAAGCUCUGUUAUUAGGAAAGAACAAAUGUGUAAGUAACUAUGCACGUCUUGACGGUACCUAAACAGAAAGCCACGGCUAACUUCGUG
This 497-nucleotide ribosomal RNA is filed under the name uncultured bacterium. Its description in RNAcentral is "partial 16S ribosomal RNA". It matches the Rfam family "Bacterial small subunit ribosomal RNA", at positions 28 to 507 of the family's 1533-position model. The record is from RNAcentral.